Molecule: ribosomal RNA, 445 nt
Filed under: uncultured bacterium
Lineage: Bacteria
Description: bacterial SSU rRNA
Rfam family: Bacterial small subunit ribosomal RNA
Source: RNAcentral
AACGAACGCUGGCGGCAGGCCUAACACAUGCAAGUCGAACGCACCGCAAGGUGAGUGGCGCACGGGUGAGUAACACGUGGGAAUGUACCCUUUGGUUCGGAAUAACGUUUGGAAACGAACGCUAAUACCGGAUGAGCCCUGCGGGGAAAGAUUAUCGCCAAAGGAGCAGCCCGCGUCUGAUUAGCUAGUUGGUGGGGUAAAGGCCUACCUAGGCGACGAUCAGUAGCUGGUCUGAGAGGAUGAUCAGCCACACUGGGACUGAGACACGGCCCAGACUCCUACGGGAGGCAGCAGUGGGGAAUAUUGGACAAUGGGCGCAAGCCUGAUCCAGCCAUGCCGCGUGAGUGAUGAAGGCCUCGGUUGUAAAGACUCUUUCGUCACGCGACGAUGAUGACGGUAGCGUGAGAAGAAGCCCGGCCUAACUUCGUGCCAGCAGCCGCGGUAA